AGUGAACGCUGGCGGUAGGCCUAACACAUGCAAGUCGAACGGCAGCACAGUAAGAGCUUGCUCUUACGGGUGGCGAGUGGCGGACGGGUGAGGAAUACAUCGGAAUCUACUUUUUCGUGGGGGGGAACGUAGGGAAACUUACGCUAAUACCGCAUACGACCUACGGGUGAAAGCAGGGGAUCUUCGGACCUUGCGCGAUUGAAGGAGCCGAUGUCGGAUUAGCUAGUUGGCGGGGUAAAGGCCCACCAAGGCGACGAUCCGUAGCUGGUCUGAGAGGAUGAUCAGCCACACUGGAACUGAGACACGGUCCAGACUCCUACGGGAGGCAGCAGUGGGGAAUAUUGGACAAUGGGCGCAAGCCUGAUCCAGCCAUACCGCGUGGGUGAAGAAGGCCUUCGGGUUGUAAAGCCCUUUUGUUGGGAAAGAAAAGCAGCAGGUUAAUACCCCGCUGUUCUGACGGUACCCAAAGAAUAAGCACCGGCUAACUUCGUG
Molecule: ribosomal RNA, 492 nt
Filed under: uncultured bacterium
Lineage: Bacteria
Description: partial 16S ribosomal RNA
Rfam family: Bacterial small subunit ribosomal RNA
Source: RNAcentral